AGCUCCAAUAGCGUAUAUUAAAGUUGUUGCGGUUAAAAGCUCGUAGUUGGAUUUCUGUUGAGGGCAGCCGGUCCGCACUCGGUGCGUGUAUCUGGUUUGACCUCGGCAUCCUCUCAAAAUACGUUUCUGCGCUUGAUUGCGUGGAGCGGAGUUUGAGACUUUUACUUUGAGGAAAUUAGAGUGUUCACGGCAGGCAAUCGCCUUGAAUAUAUUAGCAUGGAAUAAUAAUAUAGGAUCUUGGUUCUAUUUUGUUGGUUUCUAGAGCUAAGAUAAUGAUUAAUAGGGACAAUUGGGGGCAUUCGUAUUAACGCGUCAGAGGUGGAAUUCUUGGAUUGCGUUACGACGAACUACUGCGAAAGCAUUUGCCAAGGAUGUUUUCA
This 380-nucleotide ribosomal RNA is filed under the name uncultured eukaryote. RNAcentral describes it as "SSU rRNA". It matches the Rfam family "Eukaryotic small subunit ribosomal RNA", at positions 587 to 972 of the family's 1831-position model. The record is from RNAcentral.